This 390-nucleotide long non-coding RNA is filed under the name Triticum aestivum (bread wheat). RNAcentral describes it as "long non-coding RNA (TAES_LNC007220)". The record is from RNAcentral. Lineage: Eukaryota; Viridiplantae; Streptophyta; Magnoliopsida; Poales; Poaceae.
GAGUACUUACAGUAAGCUAUUACUACCAAAAUAACUACACAGCAUGCUACUGACCCAAAUGAUCUCACAUAAUUCAGGGGAAACAACUUAGAAGAUAUAAUAAACCAGAGUCUUUUUUGUUGACAGGAACUGCACAUCUACAAAACAUCAUAUGACUAGUGAAGAACGAAAAGUUUAGUGGUGUUUGCAUUCUCACAGGUAGCACACACACACACACACACACACACACACAUGCACGCACGCACGCACGCACGCACGCGCGCGCGCGUGCGCGCGCGCACACACACACACACACACACACUGUUUCAGUCAUUCUCCAAUCUUGCAAUGUACUCAUCGUAGAACUUGCCUGCCUUCUCGAGCUCACCAACUUCGGUGUAGCAAUCGGCU